ACGUUGGAUACUGGAGCGGGGAAGGAUUUCGUGCCAACGGCACUCGUACACGAGUUGUUCGGAUACUGAGCACAACGUUACACCGUUUUGUUAGGAAAGUGAAGGUGCGUCGGCGGCGUGCGUUUUUUUUUUGCUUUGUUUUUUUUUUUUAAAAAAAAAAAAAAAAAAGGCGCCCCCCCCUGGGCCUUUUUGAAAAGGGGGAAA
RNAcentral lists this ribosomal RNA (204 nucleotides) under Trypanosoma caninum. RNAcentral describes it as "partial large subunit ribosomal RNA". Lineage: Eukaryota; Euglenozoa; Kinetoplastea; Trypanosomatida; Trypanosomatidae. The record is from RNAcentral.